Callithrix jacchus (white-tufted-ear marmoset) is the source of this 278-nucleotide unclassified non-coding RNA. It matches the Rfam family "Metazoan signal recognition particle RNA". From Rfam's summary of the family: The signal recognition particle (SRP) is a universally conserved ribonucleoprotein. It is involved in the co-translational targeting of proteins to membranes. The record is from Ensembl. NCBI's taxonomy places the organism in Eukaryota, Metazoa, Chordata, Mammalia, Primates, Cebidae.
GCCGGGCAUGGUGGUGCAUGCCUGUAGUCCCAGCCACUCGGGAGGCUGAGGGGGAGGAUCACUUGAGCCCAGGAAUUCUGGGCUGCAGUGUGCUAUGCUGAUCGGGUGUCCGCACUAAGUUCAGCAUCAAUGUGGUGACCUCCCGGGAGCGGGGGACCACCAGGUUGCCUAAGGAGAAACAGAGUGAGUCAAAACUCCUGUGUUGAUCAGUAGUGGGAUCGCACCUGUGAAUAGCCACUGCACUCCAGCCUGGGCAACAUAGUGAGACCCCAUAUCUA